This 234-nucleotide unclassified non-coding RNA is filed under the name Suillus variegatus. RNAcentral describes it as "partial internal transcribed spacer 2". The record is from RNAcentral. Lineage: Eukaryota; Fungi; Basidiomycota; Agaricomycetes; Boletales; Suillaceae.
AAUUCUCAACCCCUCUCGAUUUGCUUCGAGAGGGAGCUUGGAUCGUGGAGGCUGCCGGAGACCAGUUUUUCAGGACUCGGGCUCCUCUGAAAUGUAUUGGCUUGCGGUCGACUUUCGACUGUGCAUGACAAGGCCUUUGGCGUGAUAAUGAUCGCCGCUCGCCGAAGUGCACGAACGAAUGGUCUCGUGCCUCUAAUCAGUCGACGCCUUUUCGAAGGCGUCUUCCUUAUCGAC